AUUGAACGCUGGCGGCAGGCCUAACACAUGCAAGUCGAGCGGAUGAGAGGAGCUUUCUCCUUGAUUUAGCGGCGGACGGGUGAGUAAUUCCUAGGAAUCUGCCUGGUAGUUGGGGAUAACGUUCCGAAAGGAACGCUAAUACCGCAUACGUCCUACUGGAGAAAGCAGGGGACCUUCGGGCCUUGCGCUAUCAGAUGAGCCUAGGUCGGAUUAGCUAGUUGGUGAGGUAAUGGCUCACCAAGGCGACGAUCCGUAACUGGUCUGAGAGGAUGAUCAGUCACACUGGAACUGAGACACGGUCCAGACUCCUACGGGAGGCAGCAGUGGGGAAUAUUGGACAAUGGGCGAAAGCCUGAUCCAGCCAUGCCGCGUGUGUGAAGAAGGUCUUCGGAUUGUAAAGCACUUUAAGUUGGGAGGAAGGACAGUAAGCUAAUACCUUGCUGUUUUGACGUUACCGAAAGAAUAAGCACCGGCUAACUUCGUG
RNAcentral lists this ribosomal RNA (484 nucleotides) under uncultured bacterium. Its description in RNAcentral is "partial 16S ribosomal RNA". It matches the Rfam family "Bacterial small subunit ribosomal RNA", at positions 30 to 507 of the family's 1533-position model. The record is from RNAcentral.